AGGACAAACGCUGGCGGCGUGCCUAAGACAUGCAAGUCGAACGGAAGGCUUCGGCCUUGAGUGGCGGACGGGUGAGGAGCGCGUGGAGAACCUGCCCCGGGUGGGGGAUAACAGUCGGAAACGAUUGCUAAGACCGCAUACGACCAUUCGUUGCAGGAUGAAUGGGGAAAGCAGCGAUGUGCCCUGGGAGGGCUCCGCGUCGGAUUAGCUAGUUGGUGGGUAACGGCCUACCAAGGCUGCGAUCCGUAGCUGGUCUGAGAGGACGGCCAGCCACACUGGGACUGAGACACGGCCCAGACUCCUACGGGGGGCAGCAGUGAGGAAUUUUCGGGCAAUGGGGGCAACCCUGACCGAGCAACGCCGCGUGCAGGAGGAAGGUCUUCGGGAUCGUAAACUGCUUUUCUGUGGGAAGAGAACGGACGGUACCACAGGAAGAAGCCCCGGCUAACUACGUGCCAGCAGCCGC
RNAcentral lists this ribosomal RNA (466 nucleotides) under uncultured bacterium. RNAcentral's name for it is "SSU rRNA". It matches the Rfam family "Bacterial small subunit ribosomal RNA", at positions 26 to 518 of the family's 1533-position model. The record is from RNAcentral.